GUGGGAUGAGAUAUCAGCCCUUUGAUCAUCUUAUUCCCUGGCAACUCUUCACUAGCUGGUUUCAGUGUCCUUGCUGACUCUUGGAAAUAUUGAUUACUCUCGUGACAAUGGCAAUUUUUCUAAUUCCUUCUACAUAUAUUUUCUGGCAUCCUUCAGUAAGGCCACAUUUUCUCCCUCAAAAUAUUUCAUUUUAAUUUAAACGAUUAAUACAGCUAAGAUAUUCUUUCAACAGGCAAAUGAAAACGGUAGCUUAAACUGCAAGUUUCAAUCAGAAAAUAACAGCUCUCUGAUUUCCCUCGACUCACACUCUUCUGAAACAACUCACAAAGAGUCUGAGGAA
RNAcentral lists this small RNA (340 nucleotides) under Pongo abelii (Sumatran orangutan). RNAcentral describes it as "processed transcript". Lineage: Eukaryota; Metazoa; Chordata; Mammalia; Primates; Hominidae. The record is from RNAcentral.